This 521-nucleotide ribosomal RNA is filed under the name uncultured bacterium. RNAcentral describes it as "partial 16S ribosomal RNA". It matches the Rfam family "Bacterial small subunit ribosomal RNA", at positions 355 to 868 of the family's 1533-position model. The record is from RNAcentral.
UGGGGAAUUUUGGACAAUGGGCGAAAGCCUGAUCCAGCAAUGCCGCGUGUGUGAAGAAGGCCUUCGGGUUGUAAAGCACUUUUGUCCGGAAAGAAAUGGCUCUGGUUAAUACCUGGGGUCGAUGACGGUACCGGAAGAAUAAGGACCGGCUAACUACGUGCCAGCAGCCGCGGUAAUACGUAGGGUCCAAGCGUUAAUCAGAAUUACUGGGCGUAAAGCGUGCGCAGGCGGUUGUGCAAGACCGAUGUGAAAUCCCCGAGCUUAACUUGGGAAUUGCAUUGGUGACUGCACGGCUAGAGUGUGUCAGAGGGGGGUAGAAUUCCACGUGUAGCAGUGAAAUGCGUAGAGAUGUGGAGGAAUACCGAUGGCGAAGGCAGCCCCCUGGGAUAACACUGACGCUCAUGCACGAAAGCGUGGGGAGCAAACAGGAUUAGAUACCCUGGUAGUCCACGCCCUAAACAAUGUGCAACUAGUUGUUGGGGAUUCAUUUCCUUAGUAACGUAGCUAACGCGUGAAGUUGA